RNAcentral lists this ribosomal RNA (484 nucleotides) under uncultured bacterium. RNAcentral's name for it is "partial 16S ribosomal RNA". It matches the Rfam family "Bacterial small subunit ribosomal RNA", at positions 28 to 523 of the family's 1533-position model. The record is from RNAcentral.
GAUGAACGCCGGCGGCGUGCUUAACACAUGCAAGUCGAACGGUGAAGCAGGAGCUUGCUCCUGUGGAUCAGUGGCGAACGGGUGAGUAACACGUGAGCAACCUGCCCCUGACUCUGGGAUAAGCGCUGGAAACGGCGUCUAAUACGGGAUAUGUGACGUGACCGCAUGGUCUGCAUCUGGAAAGAAUUUCGGUUGGGGAUGGGCUCGCGGCCUAUCAGCUUGUUGGUGAGGUAAUGGCUCACCAAGGCGUCGACGGGUAGCCGGCCUGAGAGGGUGACCGGCCACAGUCGGACUGAGACACGGCCCAAACUCCUACGGGAGGCAGCAGUGGGGAAUAUUGCACGCUGGGCGUAGGCCUGAUGCGGCAACGCGGCGUGGGGGACGACGGACUUCGGGUUGUAAAACUCUUUUAGCAGGGAAGAAGCGAAAGUGGCGGUACCUGCAGAAAAAGCACCGGCUAACUACGUGCCAGCCGCCGCCGUAA